AUUGAACUGAAGAGUUUGAUCCUGGCUCAGAUUGAACGCUGGCGGCAUGCUUUACACAUGCAAGUCGAACGGCAGCACGGGGGCAACCCUGGUGGCGAGUGGCGAACGGGUGAGUAAUACAUCGGAACGUAUCCUUAAGUGGGGGAUAACGCACCGAAAGGUGUGCUAAUACCGCAUAAUCUCCGAGGAGAAAAGCAGGGGAUCGCAAGACCUUGCGCUUUUGGAGCGGCCGAUGUCUGAUUAGCUAGUUGGUGAGGUAAAGGCUUACCAAGGCGUCGAUCAGUAGCUGGUCUGAGAGGACGACCAGCCACACUGGGACUGAGACACGGCCCAGACUCCUACGGGAGGCAGCAGUGGGGAA
RNAcentral lists this ribosomal RNA (361 nucleotides) under Nitrosomonadales bacterium SCN 54-20. RNAcentral's name for it is "bacterial SSU rRNA". It matches the Rfam family "Bacterial small subunit ribosomal RNA", at positions 1 to 361 of the family's 1533-position model. Lineage: Bacteria; Pseudomonadati; Pseudomonadota; Betaproteobacteria; Nitrosomonadales. The record is from RNAcentral.